RNAcentral lists this ribosomal RNA (253 nucleotides) under uncultured bacterium. Its description in RNAcentral is "partial 16S ribosomal RNA". It matches the Rfam family "Bacterial small subunit ribosomal RNA", at positions 524 to 776 of the family's 1533-position model. The record is from RNAcentral.
UACGUAGGGGGCUAGCGUUGUCCGGAAUCAUUGGGCGUAAAGAGCGUGUAGGCGGCCCGGUAAGUCCGCUGUGAAAGUCCAGGGCUCAACCCUGGGAUGCGGGUGGAUACUGCCGGGCUCGAGUCCGGAAGAGGAGAGUGGAAUUCCUGGUGUAGCGGUGAAAUGCGCAGAUAUCAGGAAGAACACCCGUGGCGAAGGCGGCUCUCUGGUACGUGACUGACGCUGAGACGCGAAAGCGUGGGGAGCAAACAGG